Molecule: non-coding RNA, 102 nt
Organism: Candidatus Muproteobacteria bacterium RBG_16_65_31
Lineage: Bacteria; Pseudomonadati; Pseudomonadota; Candidatus Muproteobacteria
Source: Rfam
UUACGCCCUGUGGGAGAGAUCGGCCGGAGACGCUAGUCUCCGGAAGACGCCGAAGGCGCAACCCGCCCGGAAUCGCUCAGGCAAACGGACCGCAGCGGCAGU